This is a non-coding RNA of Myotis davidii, 75 nucleotides long. Lineage: Eukaryota; Metazoa; Chordata; Mammalia; Chiroptera; Vespertilionidae. The record is from Rfam.
GGUAGUUCUCGGGUGACACACCCCGGAAUCAGGCUCCCUCCUCUCUGGUUCCAGGUGCAUCACCCAAGAGCCACA